UACGUAGGGUGCAAGCGUUAAUCGGAAUUACUGGGCGUAAAGCGUGCGCAGGCGGUUUGCUAAGUUGGAUGUGAAAACUCUGGGCUUAACCCAGAGCCUGCAUCCAAAACUGGCAAACUUGAGUACUGGAGGGGAAAGCGGAAUUCCUGGUGUAGCGGUGAAAUGCGUAGAUAUCAGGAGGAACACCGGUGGCGAAGGCGGCUUUCUGGACAGUAACUGACGCUGAGGCGCGAAAGCUAGGGGAGCAAACAGG
RNAcentral lists this ribosomal RNA (253 nucleotides) under uncultured bacterium. RNAcentral's name for it is "partial 16S ribosomal RNA". It matches the Rfam family "Bacterial small subunit ribosomal RNA", at positions 524 to 776 of the family's 1533-position model. The record is from RNAcentral.